UAAAAUCCCACCCUAACUGGGACAAGUUACAGAACCAAGCCAAAGGGAGUAUCUGAUGACCCACUUCAUUUUCCUACAAGGUGAAAGCUGUCAUCGUUAGCUCGUUGCUCGGCCAGUGUCAUGGAGCUGAACCGGCGGCUGCUGCUAGCUCACUGCGCGGCUCACGGCCUCUCUAUAGCGGCUGGGCUGCUGGUGGUCGUUCCGAUGGCCCUGAACGGUUCCGCUUUUAAAGGCCGCUGCGCCCUCUUCUCCACGGGCUAUUGGAGGAACGAAAACCGGGCCGAGUUGACGGGGGAGCCUGGAGAGUUAUCCCACCUAGUGGUGCGGCAGUGGGGCCCACCAGAAGCCUGCCAAUUCGCCACAUUUGUGGGUAUUUUCACGGUGCUUUACGGGGCUGCGCAGGGCUGGAGGUGCCUCUUCUAUCUGCACGGACGACACGACGACACCCUGUUUUCAUCCUUCCUCACGGUCCUGCUGAGUGUGUGUGUCCUCUUCCUGUCCGGAGGGGCGAGUGUUAUUCUGUCUCUGGGAUUCAGCUCCUGGUGUGACACAGUGACUGAUGACAACACGCGACCCUACAGCUGUGCAGAGUCUCAGUCAGUCCCACUUUAUCUGGACGUGAACACCUCUACUUUCUUCACAGAUCUCAGUCUGGCUCAGGCGUCUCUGUGGUGUGUGACAGCUCUGUGGCUCGCUCAGUCCAUCCUGGCCUUCCUGAGACUCUACCACUCCCACAACCAGCACAUGACCGCACCUUGUCUGCACCGAGACAAGGAGCUGCUGCUCAGCUACAGCCUGUCUGACUGUGGCUCGGCCUCUCCUCCUCAUCCUCCAGAAACUCCAACCAUCUUUGUCUGACCCACAGAGUGUGAGGUAGAGGGAAAACGCCUUGCACUUAACUUCAUUGUUGACAUUUGAACCUCAUUUUGUUCACCCAGACCACUCAACAUGUCUGCUCUGUUAGUCUUAUUUAUAUAUAUAUAUCACCUCUUUCAGCAGAAUGUGGUCAUUAAUAGAUUAUUCAUCAACUCAUAAGCAUCACAAACUGCAGGAGAAGAAAUGCCAACGAAGUGUUGGCUGUAGUGAGGUGGUCUAUGACUGGUGCGAUCUGAAAAACCCACUAGUUAUAAGUUUGCCCUCAAAUAUCAGGCAAGUUUUAGUCGUAAUGCUGUUUUAAGCAAUUUAAUAUCAGAUCUAUUCCCUUUAAAAAAACAAGUGACCUAUAAACCAAAGUAUUUUAUUUAAUCUUGUAGAAAAGGGACAUUUGAAAUUCAGAUCACUUCCUGCCAUUGUUACGUGAAUUUAGCAUUUUAAUAUACAAUUUAAAUCAUGUUACACAACAAGCUGUACCAUAUUUAUUUAAUUUUUUUUUAAUCUAUAAGGGAAUUUGAUUGAAAUUUGCAGCGAGAUUGUUUUUAAGUAGGAUUUAACCAAGAUGGCAGAAACAGUGUGCUAGUGAGCGAUAACUUGAACAAGACUUUUUAAAUGUGAACAAAAUAUUCUAGAGCAGCCUCAGGUUGAGUUAUGGUGAUUUCGUAGAUGUGUGAAAAUGUUUUUGUUUAGUGGUUGAGUCAUAAGAUUUCUCUGACCAAUACCACCAAAAAUACAAUAAACAAAUAAACAUAUGAAAAAGCAGGCACUUUCAAUGAAAGAGCCAUUUACUAGAGUUUAUUAGAUGUUUUGGGAGGUGAAGUUCUUUGAAGUGUCUCCACAAGAAAAUCAAAAUGGUCUCCUUUGUGUUGUAUCUGCUUUUCUGUUAGUAAACAGGGAAAACUCUUCAGAUUGCAGGCUUGUUGAUUUGAGAUUAUUACUGGAUGGCCUGAGUCAAAUUAGGGCCUCAGUCAUCACUAACAGAUAAAAGAAUGACACGUCAAACCUUCCUGCACUUUAAGUGUCCAACACAUUAAGAUGAAAGAAUUAGAACUUCAAAGGCAAAUUCCACCCAAAAUUGAAAAUUUCUCUGUUGACAUAUUUCCCAGCAUUAGAUAAAUGGGGGAAAACAAUUUUGAACCAGCCGAGUCCUACUCCUGACCCGGUUGUUCUCCUUUAGCUUUAGCUUAGCAUAAAACACAGCAAGUGAAUGGAUCCAACUAGCAUUGUGAUUUAAAAAAAAAGUCCUUAAAAUCACUCAGUAGUGAUCCAAAUUCUGCUUGGUGACCUAAAUAAUCAGACUGACUGCAAGUGAAAAUAAUUAGUAGCAUACAGGAAUCACAGGUGCCAUUUUAGACUUGGGCCUACUUUAUGACAAAUCACAGCUGUAAGCUUCCACUGAAAGGUGCAAGCAGCCCCAAAGAAACCUGCUUCCUUACACACGUUAUCAAACCAGCAUAAUACAAACACACACACACGCAAUAUGUCAACGAGAGGAAAAUUAUGAUUUUGUGAUUUGAUUUGUUUUUUUGUUUAUGUUUCUGACAGCGCUGUAAGCAAUGUGAGUAUUUAAUACAUUGUGUUUAUAUGUUUAAGAUGCAUGCUCAUUUAUAUUUGUCCUUGAAUGCAUUUUGCACUUUUGUGUCCUCUUCAGGGAAAAACACACACCCAUUUAUGUUUUGAGUGUAUUGUUGAGAUGAAGCACUGAGAUGCUUAGAUUGUGAAAGCAUGUGGUUGGCGUGCGACUGAGCCACCGUGUUCAUGAAAGUGGCUCACUGUGUGAGCAGGACCGGAAUGUUCUUUUGUGUGCAGGGAAAACACACCACUGGCCUUCUCUGCUCUCGUGACGGUUUUCAUUAUGAUGCCGUUUGUGUGGAUGGAGCUGCUCUGUGGGGCUGGAUGAAGCUCUCAGAUCCUCCGUAACGGGUAAAUUCCCGAUGAGAGAUUUGUGUGGAACUCGGUGAGGUCAAAGAAACCAAAGGGAGUUUGCAACAAUGAUGAGUUUAUUUAAAUGACUAAGUUGUUAACUCUUUUUACCAGAACAGCCGUGAUGAAACGCAAACAGCAGAGCUGGAAAUCUGAAGUACAGAGAACAUGUGGUUGUUACUUGAAUUAUAUGAAAUGCUUUUAUUUUUUAACUACAUGUGAUUCUGCUUGACUUUGACCUAUUUAUGCUAAUUUAUUCUCAUGUGUUUUUCCAUUUUUCUUUAUUUUAAUAAAGAAUUUCCACAAAAACAA
Non-coding RNA from Nothobranchius furzeri (turquoise killifish), 3108 nucleotides. The record is from RefSeq and is a predicted model, not a curated record. NCBI's taxonomy places the organism in Eukaryota, Metazoa, Chordata, Actinopteri, Cyprinodontiformes, Nothobranchiidae.